UAAAAACACUAAUAAAGCUAUUUACUGCUUCUAAACAAUUUCUUUAUUGGUUUUAGCCUCUUUUAAGAGAAAUUUGAUGUAAGUGUUCUCUAACCACUCCUAAUCUAUCUCUAACUCUUAUAACUAGUCAAAAUGCAUUGGAUUGUGUCACAUUUUGACCACAAACACACUAACAAAACUGUUUACUGUUUCUAAGAAAUUGUUUGUUAGUUUUAGCCACUUUUGAGAGAAAAUGGGUAUAAGUAUUGUCUAAACACUCUUAAUCUAUCUCUAACUCUUAUAAUUAGUCAAAUGCAUUAGAUUGUGACAAAUUUUUACAAUAGAAACACUAACAAACCUAAUUACUGCUACUAAGCAAAUUUUUGUUAGUUUCAGCCUCUUUUGGGAGAAAAUGGGUAUAAGUGUUUUCUAAAUACUCCUAAUCCAUCUCUAACUCUUAUAAUUAUUCAAAUGCAUUGGAUUGUGACACAUUUUGACCAUAAAAACACUAACAAAACUGUUUACUACUUCUAAGCAAUGUUUUGGUUGUUUUAGCCUCUUUUGGGAGAAAAUGGGUAUAAGUGUUGUCUAAACACUCCAAAUCCAUCUCUAACUCUUCUAAUUAGUCAAAGGCUUUGGAUUGUGACACAUUUUGACCAUAGAAACACUAACAAAGCAAUUU
Molecule: small RNA, 661 nt
Filed under: Arabidopsis thaliana (thale cress)
Lineage: Eukaryota; Viridiplantae; Streptophyta; Magnoliopsida; Brassicales; Brassicaceae
Description: ATSL035220
Source: RNAcentral